GUCCACGCCGUAAACGAUGAGUGCUUGAUGUUGGGGGCCUAGCCCCUCAGUGUCGUAGCUAACGUGAUAAGCACUCCGCCUGGGGAGUACGGCCGCAAGGUUAAAACUCAAAGGAAUUGACGGGGCCCGCACAAGCGGUGGAGCAUGUGGUUCAAUUCGACGCAACGCGAAGAACCUUACCAGCUCUUGACAUUAGACGUAUGGGGCCGAGAGAUCGGCUCCUUCAGUUCGGCUGGCGUCCAAACAGGUGCUGCAUGGCUGUCGU
Molecule: ribosomal RNA, 265 nt
Filed under: uncultured bacterium
Lineage: Bacteria
Description: partial 16S ribosomal RNA
Rfam family: Bacterial small subunit ribosomal RNA
Source: RNAcentral